UGGUGGAGUGAUUUGUCUGGUUAAUUCUGAUAACGAGCGAGAUUUUGGCGGGCUAAGUAGGGGGCCGUGCGGGAGCAGGGUGGCCUUCUUAGACGGACACGGUCGCGGGAAGUGACAGGAAGAGCGAAGCAAUAACA
RNAcentral lists this ribosomal RNA (137 nucleotides) under uncultured eukaryote. RNAcentral's name for it is "partial 18S ribosomal RNA". It matches the Rfam family "Eukaryotic small subunit ribosomal RNA", at positions 1299 to 1458 of the family's 1831-position model. The record is from RNAcentral.